AAACGUAUGUGGCAGGGGAGAUACUAUGAAUAGGAAGGUGGCUUUUCUAGGGUGAGGCUUAUCCACGGCGCUCUGGAUGUGCUGUCUCUUGCGAUUUCCCUAAAUGUGGGAAACUCGACUGAAUAAUUUGUGGUAGUGGGGGACUGCGUUCGCUAUUUCCCCUG
This is a small nuclear RNA of Ailuropoda melanoleuca (giant panda), 164 nucleotides long. Its record names the gene U1. It matches the Rfam family "U1 spliceosomal RNA". From Rfam's summary of the family: U1 is a small nuclear RNA (snRNA) component of the spliceosome (involved in pre-mRNA splicing). Its 5' end forms complementary base pairs with the 5' splice junction, thus defining the 5' donor site of an intron. Lineage: Eukaryota; Metazoa; Chordata; Mammalia; Carnivora; Ursidae. The record is from Ensembl.